This is a non-coding RNA of Drosophila suzukii, 2641 nucleotides long. NCBI's taxonomy places the organism in Eukaryota, Metazoa, Arthropoda, Insecta, Diptera, Drosophilidae. The record is from RefSeq and is a predicted model, not a curated record.
CGGCAAGCGAUCAGAGGCGGCCACUACGAACAUCUCGAGACACAGGAGCCAGCAGUCGUCAAGUCAACGCGUCGAUAGGCCAGGACGAGGAACAUCAUCAGCCAGUAGAACCAGAGCGUGGAGGUACCGAGGCCAGCCCAGUCACACACUCGCUGUAUUAAUAAAUCGAGAAUAAAACCCACUGUUACCAUUUGAACCCUGUGUUUUCUCAUUGAUCUACGGGGCAGUCACGUUAUAUAAAUUUGGUGGGACGAACAUACAAUCUUAGGAGCUAGCAGCACGAAUCUCGUAGCGAGCAGACCAACAAAUCAGCUUCGAAUUACGUAUCUCCACCAGUUUCUUCAAUACAUCUUAUGGCGCUAUAGGCCCGAAGACGAACUUCAAGUAUACUCGCUUGACACCAAAUGUACGGCACUAAGCCUGCUGCCUUUUCUGGCAAUUCGUACAAUGCAGCAGCUAUCCUGUGAUGAUGAAGCGGAGUUUCCAAUUGCAGCCAAGAUCAUACGCACAAACCUAUACGUUGAUGAUCUAAUCUCAGGAGGAGACAGUUAUGAAGAGGUUGUUGAAAUUCGUCAACAAGUUAAGGAACUCUUGGACAGGGGACAUUUUCCGAUUACCAAAUGGUGCUCCAACGAGCCUGCGGCGCUAAAUGGAAUAAAAGCGCGGCGGAUGAUACAAAGGCGUUGGGUUUGGCUUGGGAUACUCUAUCGGAUAAUUAGCUCCUCAGCUUCUUAAGCGGGUGGACAGGUUAGCCCGCAACCAAGCGCUGCAUACUGUCGACCAUCGCUAGAUUAAUGGCCCCGAUCAUCACCAAGCUAAAGAUUUUUAUGCAGGUCCUAUGGAAGGAUAAGCUUGACUGGGAAGAGUCCUUACCGCAGUCACUACACCCGCCUUUGUUGGCGCACAUGUCACAGAUCGCAAAAGUAGCUUACUGGAAGUUUCCACGGAUUAUUUUGCAGCAUUACUCAUUCUGCGAAGUACAAGGAUUUUGUGACGCAAGCUUGGCCGCUUACGGCGCUCAAGAGUUACGCCCUUGAAGACCCUCACCAUUCCGAAGCUAAAGUUAUCCGCAGCCCUUUUAUUGUCCAAGCUCAUCUCUGAAUUUUCCUUCAGCGUGCACGCUUCAUUGUUGGUCAGAUUCUAAAAUCGUUUUGGCAUGGAUUCGUCAACCUCCGUCAGACUUUAACAUAUUUGUCUCAAGCAGGACUUCACAGAUACAAGAGAGAACUAAAGGAAUGAACUGGAGGCUCUGAAAGCGCACCUUCAGUCGAGCGUCCCUGACCCUGAGCGUCGACGCAGCGCAUUGGUGCUGUCACAGGAAAUGGAUAUUUCGUAUAGUUGCAAAGAGUUGCUGAGAGUUUUCGGGUACAUAUAUCGGUUCCAUCUAACGCGCAGCAAAGAUCGGGUUAGGCAUAACCUCUUACAGUCGAUUAAAUUAAAGGCGGUACUCAUCUGCUCAUUAAAGGGAUUCAGCGUGUGCACUUUGCCGAGAAGCAUAUGGCCCUAACUUCGAAGAUGCAGCUGUCGCCAAAGAGCAGACUUCUUUCUUUGAACCCAUUUCUGGAUGAAGGCGUACGCCUUCAAAGUUCUCAGCUGGAUUUCGAUGCCAAGCACCCAAUGAUUCUCCCAAAGUUUCAUCGCGUAACCUCAGCCAGGUUCUGGCCUAUUGGAGGACGAAAAACGGUUUCUGCUGUCAUCAGCAAGUGCAUUCAAUGCUUCAGAUUAAAGCUCAAACUAGUAGAGCACAUCAUGGUGCUGCUCUUAGAGGAUCGUGUUCAGCCGAAACGCCCAUUUGUAAUCGCUGAAGUUGAUUUUUGUUAACCCAUUCAAUUCAUUGUCGGAGGUCAGGAACAGGCCUCCUAUGAAAUGCUACAUAGCCAUUUUCCUUUGUUUCGUCAUUGAGGCUACACACUUGGAAGAAGUCGAGGAUAUUUCAACUCAAUCUUUUAUUGCAGCGCUAAUAAGAUUUAUAAGCCUGAGGGGGGAAGACUCAAACGAUCUGGUCGGACAACGCAACCAAUUUUGUGGGAGCCGAAAAUGAGGUUAUUGAGCCUCGGCAGUUGUUCCUCAGCGAUUCUCAAAGCAGCGAGUUUUGGAGUUCCCUUACUUCGAUGGAAAUUAAGUUUCCCACACUUUGAAGGCUUGUGGGAAGGCGCGAGAACCCAGAUGACAUCGACGUUUUGACGCCUGCUUACUUUCUCAUUUGGUCUACAUUUACCUCAAUGGACGAACCUGACGUCUGACAUGUGUGCCAAAUGCAGCAAAUAUUCCGGCGCAAAUGGAGCACCAUCAACUUUUCGUUGCUGCAGGAGCGAAGCAAAUGGCAAAGGGCAACGAGGAAGUUAACUGUCCUGCCCCUUGAAACCACUUCACUUCGAAGUAUGGCUCUUCCAACGGGGGGAGCAUGUCAGGAGCAAUCACUUAAUUGAAGUAAAAUCACUGAUUGUUUGUUAUUUGGUCAGCAUCACUGACAACAAGAAUGUAAACAAAGGAUUCCUGAAUUAUCUAUUUUGUAUGCGUGCACGUAUGGAUAAGAUGAGAUAAGCGCGUUCAGUCGCUGAUCUCCGCUCAUCUUGCAUUCGCUCGUUAUCGUUUUCGGAACUCAGUCGCAUCGCUGCAGAAAUAAACACUUACAUAAAAA